Molecule: ribosomal RNA, 394 nt
Filed under: uncultured bacterium
Lineage: Bacteria
Description: partial 16S ribosomal RNA
Rfam family: Bacterial small subunit ribosomal RNA
Source: RNAcentral
CCUACGGGUGGCAGCAGUGAGGAAUAUUGGGCAAUGGACGCAAGUCUGAACCAGCCAUGCAGCGUGAAGGAAGACGGCCCUAUGAGUUGUAAACUGCUUUUGUACGAGGGUAAACUCAGAUACGCGUAUCUUUCUGCAUGUACCCUACGAAUAAGGAUCGGCUAACUCCGUGCCAGCAGCCGCGGUAAUACGGAGGAUUCAAGCGUUAUCCGGAUUUAUUGGGUUUAAAGGGUGCGUAGGUGGUAGGUUAAGUUAGAGGUGAAAUCCCGGGGCUCAACUUCGGAAUUGCCUCUGAUACUGUUAGGCGAGAGUGUAGUUGCGGUAGGCGGAAUGUGUGGUGUAGCGGUGAAAUGCUUAGAGAUCAUGCAGAACACCGAUUGCGAAGGCAGCUUAC